RNAcentral lists this ribosomal RNA (726 nucleotides) under uncultured Enterobacteriaceae bacterium. RNAcentral's name for it is "bacterial SSU rRNA". It matches the Rfam family "Bacterial small subunit ribosomal RNA", at positions 777 to 1502 of the family's 1533-position model. The record is from RNAcentral. Lineage: Bacteria; Pseudomonadati; Pseudomonadota; Gammaproteobacteria; Enterobacterales; Enterobacteriaceae.
AUUAGAUACCCUGGUAGUCCACGCUGUAAACGAUGUCGAUUUGGAGUUUGGGGGCAUGACCCUUGGGCUCCGGAGCUAACGCGUUAAAUCGACCGCCUGGGGAGUACGGCCGCAAGGUUAAAACUCAAAUGAAUUGACGGGGGCCCGCACAAGCGGUGGAGCAUGUGGUUUAAUUCGAUGCAACGCGAAGAACCUUACCUGGUCUUGACAUCCAUAGAAUCUUUCAGAGAUGAGAGAGUGCCUUCGGGAGCUAUGAGACAGGUGCUGCAUGGCUGUCGUCAGCUCGUGUUGUGAAAUGUUGGGUUAAGUCCCGCAACGAGCGCAACCCCUAUCCUUUGUUGCCAGCACGUAAUGGUGGGAACUCAAAGGAGACUGCCGUUGAUAAAGCGGAGGAAGGUGGGGACGACGUCAAGUCAUCAUGGCCCUUACGACCAGGGCUACACACGUGCUACAAUGGCGUAUACAAAGGGAUGCGAAGGUGCGAACUGGAGCGGACCUCACAAAGUACGUCUAAGUCCGGAUUGGAGUCUGCAACUCGACUCCAUGAAGUCGGAAUCGCUAGUAAUCGUGAAUCAGAAUGUCACGGUGAAUACGUUCCCGGGCCUUGUACACACCGCCCGUCACACCAUGGGAGUGGGUUGCACCAGAAGUAGAUAGCUUAACCUUCGGGAGGGCGUUUACCACGGUGUGGUUCAUGACUGGGGUGAAGUCGUAACAAGGUAACCA